AUUGAACGCUGGCGGCAUGCCUUACACAUGCAAGUCGAACGGCAGCAUGAUCUAGCUUGCUAGAUUGAUGGCGAGUGGCGAACGGGUGAGUAAUACAUCGGAACGUGCCCUGUGGUGGGGGAUAACUAGUCGAAAGAUUAGCUAAUACCGCAUACGACCUGAGGGUGAAAGUGGGGGACCGAAAGGCCUCAUGCUAUAGGCGCGGCCGAGGGCUGAUUAGCUAGUUGGUGAGGUAAAGGCUCACCAAAGCGACGAUCAGUAGCUGGUCUGAGAGGACGAUCAGCCACACUGGGCCUGAGACACGGCCCGGACUCCUACGGGAGGCAGAAGUGGGGAAUUUUGGACAAUGGGCGAAAGCCUGAUCCAGCAAUGCCGCGUGUGUGAAGAAGGCCUUCGGGUUGUAAAGCACUUUUGUCCGGAAAGAAAUGGCUCUGGUUAAUACCUGGGGUCGAUGACGGUACCGGAAGAAUAAGGACCGGCUAACUACGUGCCAGCAGCCGCCGUAA
Molecule: ribosomal RNA, 506 nt
Filed under: uncultured bacterium
Lineage: Bacteria
Description: partial 16S ribosomal RNA
Rfam family: Bacterial small subunit ribosomal RNA
Source: RNAcentral